Molecule: ribosomal RNA, 537 nt
Filed under: uncultured bacterium
Lineage: Bacteria
Description: bacterial SSU rRNA
Rfam family: Bacterial small subunit ribosomal RNA
Source: RNAcentral
UAAAUAGAUACCCCUGGUAGUCCACGCCCUAAACGAUGCGAACUGGAUGUUGGGUACAUUACGGUACUCAGUGUCGAAGCUAACGCGUUAAGUUCGCCGCCUGGGGAGUACGGUCGCAAGACUGAAACUCAAAGGAAUUGACGGGGGCCCGCACAAGCGGUGGAGUAUGUGGUUUAAUUCGAUGCAACGCGAAGAACCUUACCUGGCCUUGACAUCUGUCGAAUCCUGCAGAGAUGCGGGAGUGCCGCAAGGAACGACAAGACAGGUGCUGCAUGGCUGUCGUCAGCUCGUGUCGUGAGAUGUUGGGUUAAGUCCCGCAACGAGCGCAACCCUUGUCCCUAGUUGCCAGCACGUAAUGGUGGGAACUCUAGGGAGACUGCCGGUGACAAACCGGGAGGAAGGUGGGGAUGACGUCAAGUCCUCAUGGCCCUUACGGCCAGGGCUACACACGUACUACAAUGGUCGGUACAGAGGGUUGCGAAGCCGCGAGGUGGAGCCAAUCCCAGAAAACCGAUCCCAGUCCGGAUCGGAGUCUGC